UUAAAAUUAAUUUAAAAACGAUUAACUUAAAAUUUAUGAUACUACAUAUCUAUCCCUAUCCCUAAUGAGCAAGCCGGAGGCGACAGCAGCAAGGAAAAACUCCCUAAAAUAAUAUGAGGGAGAAACCUUGAGAGGAACCAGGCUCAGAAGGGAACCUCAUCCUCAUUUGGGUGACACUCAAAGUUCUUUUUUUAAUGGAAACAAAUAGGCAUAACCACAAUUAAAGACCUAUACAAUGAAGGCAAAUUUAGCUCCUUUGACCAGUUAAAGCAACACCAUGCCCUGUGAAUGCUAGACAUAAUCUGAUUCAAUUCAAGGUAAUUCAUAGGCUCCAUUAUUCAAAAUCAAAACUUAAAUAUAUAAAAUAUAUUCUGCAAUAUCUUCACUCUGCAACAAAUGUAAAACAGUAGAUGGCACUUUUUUCCAUUCUUUAUGGUCAUGCUCCAAAAUCCAGCCAUUUUGGAAAGGUAUAUUUAAAUUUCUUUCUGAAGCACACUAUCAAUCUUCACUAUCACACACACACAAGGCCCCUCCCUUUUCCAGUACAAGGCCAGUACAUCAGGAGACGUGGAGGAGGCCGUAGGAGGGCAACAACCCAGCAGCAGGACCGCUACCUCCGCCUGUGUGCAAGGAGGAACAGGAGGAGAACUGCCAGAGCCCUGCAAAAUUACCUCCAGCAGGCCACAAAUGUGCAUGUGUCUGGUGAUAUGAGGUAGCCUGACUGCCAUUAGGUACAGAGGUCUCCAGGAGCCCCCUGUGAAUGGAAUGAACUGUAUUGUCUAACUGGAUGCCGAUGUCUGCAUACUGUGUGAUGUGGAUGUCUGCACGUUUUCCCCAUCUCCAUUUGGACGUUGGUCUCUUAAAACCGAAAAUCUGUUCUGCAGAGUAAUCAUGGUUAUUAAAACACAAGGAGAAAGAAAAAUACAGUAAAAUGAAGACUAUAAAACCGAAACAAAUAUUAAUACACCUGUUCUCACCCAACUUACUCUGGUGGGAGACUAUGGAAUAAAAACACUGUCAAUAAUAAUCAGUUGGAUCCCAAAAUCUACGGCCACGACAGUUUACAGAUACGAGAUUUUGUGUGUUUGUUCAAAUACAAUUCCAAAAUGUACGACUAUGACAGUUUACACACACAACGCUUGUUUUCACAACACCUCUUUUUCACACACGAAGUGCGGUCUGCGAAACAACUGUCAAAAAUACGUCAUCACGUUCACAGGCAUUACUAUCCGAGGGAAGAUGAAUCGAUUCCACAAAGUGCACAUGCGCCCCGCCCUCUUUUAAACCACUGGCACCGAAAUGGCGGAUCAGCAGCCAAGCGCUCACUCAUCAUCUCAGGGACCCCUGAUGACGCACUUACUAGAAUGCCUCAGGUCAAGAAUAAAUGCAGUUUUAGAUGGCCAUCAGCUGGACUUGGACUAUUUUCAGUAUGUUAUAAAUCAAGAAGUGUUUAUUUUGUCAUCAGCCUCCACUAUCUUUGAUGUGCCAAAUGAUAUUUUGGAGACCCUCAUGGAUCUACAACAAAAAAUUCAUGCAGCUCUUUCCCAAGAAGUGGCCCCAAUUCUUACGAGGGAAUGUGGUGGUGGACGAGGUCGACCUAAGUUUAUUGUUUCUGAGGAGACAUCUCAUUGAGAUGUCUUUAUGUGUUUCUUGUAUUGCGAACAUUUUAGGAGUAAGCCAGUCAACAAUCUUCCGCCGAAUGCGUGACUUGUGUUUAUCUGUAAAAACUACAUAUAGCACCAUAUCUGACAAUGAAUUGGAUAAUGCCAUUUUGGCCAUCAAAAGGCAGCUACCAAAUGCUGGAUAUAGGAUGAUGAAAGGCUGCCUACAAGCAGAUGGACAUAGAGUUCAAUGGAACCGCAUAAAAGAAUCCAUGCACAGAGUGGAUGCCCCUGGAAUUCUGGAAAGGAUGACACAGCUGGGGUGUAUCGUCAGGAGGUCAUAUUUUGUUCAAAAUCCAUUGUCCUUAGCCCACAUUGACACAAAUCACAAGCUCAUAAGGUACAACAUCAUCAUAUUCGGUGGGAUAGAUUGGUUCUCAUGAAAGCAACAAACAACCGUUCAAACACUGCCUUAUCAUUCUUUCUCCGGUCUGUGCAACAGCAUGGCUGGCCUUCAAGGGUCCGGGGUGAUGAAGGUGUGGAAAAUGUGGCAAUUGCAGAAACCAUGUUUCGUGUGAAAGGGAUCGGAAGAGGAAGCUUCAUUUCUGGGAAAAGCGUACAUAAUCAGAGAAUCGAAGCCUGUGGCGAGACGUCUGGCUCGGCUGUAACUCACCUGUAUUAUGAAAUACUUCACAGCCUUGAGGAAGAUGGCAUGUUGGACUUGUCAGAUUCCCUUCCUUUUUUUUUUUGCACAUUAUGUGUUCCUCCCACAUCUGAAGCGUGACCUCCACACUUUUUCUGAAGGCUGGGACAAUCAUCCGUUACGGUCUGAAAAUGGGCUCACCCCUAACCAGAUGUGGAUAAUGGGACACAUGCACAACUCAUCUGGAGAUGAUGAAGAGAAUUUCCAGAAUUUGGAACUGUUUGGUACAGACUGGGAAACGUUUGACAGCGUCACAGAAGAUGAUGUUGGAGUUCAUGUUCCAGAAAUUGAGUGCCCACUCACUUCUGCUCUGAUGGAAACAGUAAAAUCCAUCUUUAAUCCUCUUGCAACAUCUGACUGUUAUGGCAGAGAUAUUUAUAUCUCUUUGGUUCAAUAUUUUGAAAGUCUUUAAAAUACACAAACAUGUGUGAAACGAUUGCAAACAUUUAUUUUACAAAUUGUGUACAUACUUUGACAAUUUCAACUAACACAGAGCAGCACAAUGAAUGAAUUGUAUGAGAAGUAAUUUGUAAAUGAAAAUCAGAACAGUUAAUGAUUUUGUAUUGCUUAACACAAACAUUCUUUGGACAAAUAUUGUCAACGGAACAGUUUUACUUGUGCCAAUAAACAAUGACUCAACGAGAAGCUGAAA
This is a long non-coding RNA of Tachysurus vachellii, 2956 nucleotides long. RefSeq lists it as uncharacterized. The record is from RefSeq and is a predicted model, not a curated record. NCBI's taxonomy places the organism in Eukaryota, Metazoa, Chordata, Actinopteri, Siluriformes, Bagridae. The transcript is spliced from 10 exons.